Long non-coding RNA from Cygnus olor (mute swan), 892 nucleotides. RefSeq lists it as uncharacterized. Lineage: Eukaryota; Metazoa; Chordata; Aves; Anseriformes; Anatidae. The transcript has 5 exons. The record is from RefSeq and is a predicted model, not a curated record.
UGCUGAGGAGACCUGCAUGGGAAGUGGGACCUUUCCCAGGAAUUGUGAGGCCACCUGCGACUUUAAACCUUCCUUCCUUCUACAAGCUAAAUGGUACCAUGAGGAUUCCAGUACUAGGAAUGCUGGUUAUCGCAUGCUGCCUAGGAGAUGCUGCCUGGGAAAGGAGGCGAGAGAGGUCCUUUUGUCAGAGCCUAUAAGGAUGAGUAUGCUUUGCACUUCUCCUGAAGAAUUAUAGCCUGGGCACAGCAUGAACAAUGACACCAAUGUCCUGGCCACUGAUAUUUCCCUGGACCUCCAAACCUCAAGAUAUGAACAGAUGUAACCUGAGCUUUGGGCAAAAUUGGCUGCUGAAUCUCACGCUAUGGCUUGAGUCCCAUCUCUAGGUUUAAGGCAUUAGUCGAAUAUUGCUGAAUUCUACCACUCUGAAUGGGCUACUCUAUGAAUAGCUGCAAGAAAGAUUGGAAAGAUACCUGGGUGAAGAUUUUGCAGCGUUUUCCCCUGAAAGAAUGAAAAUCACAAAGAAGAUGCCUUGUCUUGAGACUCCCAGAGUUCAACAGAGUUUGAUUUUCAAAUGGGAUGCAGUGAAGUUGGCUUACUUGUUAUUGACUCCAAUUCUAGAAUGUGAACACUCAUUUAAAAUCAUGAAAGUCAUGGAAUCUGAGAUUCAUGUCAUGGGCACAAGAGAUAUGGACUGCUGAGGAAUAAAAAUAUGUUUGUGGGUAAUUCGUUAGAGAAACUACUCAUAGAAGAUGUAGUUGAUCAUGAUUUCCCUGUAGUGUUGUGAAAAUUAGUAUCUGCCUGGCUUAUAUCUGCCCUGUAAAUGAAAAGACCUCAAGAGAAAUGUCAACUUCAGCCAUGUUUUAAGAAUGUGUAAAUCUGGGGGGUCUGAAUA